UACGAAGGGGGCUAGCGUUGCUCGGAAUUACUGGGCGUAAAGGGCGCGUAGGCGGAUGUUUAAGUCGGGGGUGAAAGCCCGGGGCUCAACCUCGGAAUUGCCUUCGAUACUGGACAUCUUGAGUACGGGAGAGGUGAGUGGAACUCCGAGUGUAGAGGUGAAAUUCGUAGAUAUUGGGUGGAACACCGGUGGCGAAAGCGGCUCUCUGGUCCGGACCUGACGCUGAGGCGCGAAAGCGUGGGGAGCAAACAGG
Molecule: ribosomal RNA, 253 nt
Filed under: uncultured bacterium
Lineage: Bacteria
Description: partial 16S ribosomal RNA
Rfam family: Bacterial small subunit ribosomal RNA
Source: RNAcentral